Molecule: ribosomal RNA, 200 nt
Filed under: uncultured eukaryote
Lineage: Eukaryota
Description: partial 18S ribosomal RNA
Rfam family: Eukaryotic small subunit ribosomal RNA
Source: RNAcentral
GCUCCAAUAGCGUGUACUAACGUUGUUGCAGUUAAAAAGCUCGUAGUUGAAUUUCUGGUAGGAGUGACCGUUCUUUGUCGCAAGAUAUUGAAAAGUGUGUUUUCUCUGGCCAUUUUGGUUUAUCUGUUAAGGAUAGGCCUCAUUCACUGUAAAUAAAGUUGGUCGCUUCAAGAAGAAGUUUCUUCAGAAAAUGUUAGUAU